GACAGUAGCAGCAGCAGGGUGCUGCCGGGCGGGCGGUGUCUCCCAGGCGGCCUUGCCCGGAUGUGCUACCCUGACUCAUAGUCGCGCCGCACGCAGGCUCCGCGCUGCUGCCGUGCUCUCCCGUCCCGCUUCGCGCACACGCCUCCCGCGCCUCCCUCCGCGCCAGCGGGGAGGCGGUGGCUGCAGCAGCGGCAGGAGGGGAAGGAGGAGGAGGCCGCGGCGGCACCAUGGAUAAUCUAAGUGAUGCCCUGAAAAAGCUGAAGAUAACAACCACUGACAGCACAGCAGAUAGCUUGGAGGGAUGCUUGGACUGUCUGCUUCAAGCUCUGGCACAAAACAAUAUGGAGACAAGUGAAAAAAUCCAGAAAAGUGGAGUUCUUCAGGUGUUCGGGAGUCUGUUGACGCCACAAUCUUCCUGCACAGCAAAAGUAGCUAACAUCAUAGCAGAAGUAGCCAGAAAUGAAUUUAUGCGAAACCCAUGUGUGGAUGCCGGGUUGAUCCCUCCUUUGGUGCAGCUGUUAAACUGCAAAGACCAGGAAGUAUUGCUUCAAACAGGACGUGCCCUGGGCAAUAUAUGCUACGAUAGCCAUACCCUGCAGUCACAGCUUAUCAAUAUGGGUGUUAUUCCUACAUUAGUGAAAUUGUUGGGUAUUCAUUGCCAAAAUGCAGCUCUGACAGAGAUGUGCCUUGUUGCAUUUGGCAAUUUAGCAGAACUUGAGUCAAGUAAAGAGCAGUUUGCCUACACAAACAUUGCUGAAGAGCUUGUUAAACUGUUCAAGAAGCAAAUAGAGCAUGAUAAAAGAGAGAUGAUUUUUGAAGUUUUGGCUCCCCUGGCAGAAAAUGAUGUCAUUAAACUGCAGCUGGUUGAAGCUGGCUUGGUGGAGUGCCUACUUGAGAUUGUCCAGAAGACUGUGGACAGUGACAAAGAAGAUGAUGUUGCAGAGCUUAAAACAGCUUCUGAUCUUAUGGUUUUAUUAUUGCUUGGAGAUGAAUCCAUGCAAAAGUUAUUUGAAGGAGGAAAAGGCAGCGUAUUCCAAAGAGUACUUUCGUGGAUUCCUUCCAACAGCCAUCAGCUACAGCUUGCAGGAGCAUUGGCUAUUGCAAAUUUUGCCAGAAAUGAUGGAAACUGCAUCCAUAUGGUGGAUAAUGGCAUAGUUCAAAAGCUGAUGGAUCUGCUAGACAGACAUGUGGAGGACGGAAAUGUAACUGUGCAGCAUGCUGCACUGAGUGCUCUCAGAAACCUGGCUAUUCCUGUUGUAAAUAAGGCUAAGAUGCUAUCAGCUGGUGUUGCAGAAGCUGUAUUGAAAUUUCUCAGAUCGGAGAUGCCCCCUGUUCAGUUCAAGCUGCUGGGAACAUUAAGAAUGUUAAUAGAUGCACAAGCAGAAGCCGCUGAACAGCUGGGCAAAAAUAUCAAACUGGUGGAACGGUUGGUGGAAUGGUGUGAAGCCAAGGAUCACGCAGGUGUGAUGGGGGAAUCCAACAGACUACUUUCCGCACUUAUACGACACAGCAAAUCUAAAGAUGUAAUUAGGACCAUUGUACAGAGUGGAGGCAUAAAGCAUCUAGUAACCAUGGCAACCAGUGAACAUGUAAUAAUGCAAAACGAAGCUCUUGUUGCACUGGCAUUAAUAGCGGCUUUAGAGUUAGUCACUGCUGAAAAGGAUCUCGAAAACGCUCAGCUUGUUCAGAUUCUACACAGACUGCUCUCAGACGACAGGAGUGCUCCAGAAAUAAAAUACAACUCCAUGGUGUUGAUCUGUGCCCUUAUAGGAUCUGAGCCUCUUCAAAAGGAAGUGCAGAGCAUGGCGUUUCUAGAAGUCAUAUCAAAACUCCGCAGCCAUGAGAACAAAACUGUUGCCCAGCAGGCCUCACUAACAGAGCAGAGACUUGCUGUAGAAAGCUGA
RNAcentral lists this long non-coding RNA (1904 nucleotides) under Amazona collaria (yellow-billed parrot). RNAcentral's name for it is "lncRNA (ENSACOG00000006257.1)". The record is from RNAcentral. Lineage: Eukaryota; Metazoa; Chordata; Aves; Psittaciformes; Psittacidae.